Molecule: ribosomal RNA, 500 nt
Filed under: uncultured Glomeromycotina
Lineage: Eukaryota; Fungi; Glomeromycota
Description: SSU rRNA
Rfam family: Eukaryotic small subunit ribosomal RNA
Source: RNAcentral
CCAAUAGCGUAUAUUAAAGUUGUUGCAGUUAAAAAGCUCGUAGUUGAAUUUCGGGGUUAGUAGGUUGGUCAUGCCUCUGGUAUGUACUGGUCUCACUGAUUCCUCCUUCCUGAUGAGCCGUAAUGCCAUUAAUUUGGUGUUGCGGGGAAUUUGGACUGUUACUUUGAAAAAAUUAGAGUGUUUAAAGCAAGCUAACGCUUGAAUACAUUAGCAUGGAAUAAUGAAAUAGGACGUUCGAUCCUAUUUUGUUGGUUUCUAGGAUUGACGUAAUGAUUAAUAGGGAUAGUUGGGGGCAUUAGUAUUCAAUUGUCAGAGGUGAAAUUCUUGGAUUUAUUGAAGACUAACUACUGCGAAAGCAUUUGCCAAGGAUGUUUUCAUUAAUCAAGAACGAAAGUUAGGGGAUCGAAGACGAUCAGAUACCGUCGUAGUCUUAACCAUCAACUAUGCCGACUAGGGAUCGGAUGAUGUGAAUUUUUUAAUGACUCAUUCGGCACCUUACG